Non-coding RNA from Heterocephalus glaber (naked mole-rat), 1017 nucleotides. NCBI's taxonomy places the organism in Eukaryota, Metazoa, Chordata, Mammalia, Rodentia, Bathyergidae. The record is from RefSeq and is a predicted model, not a curated record.
CUGGGCACAGAUAUCUCAGGAAGGGGAGACACUCCACUGCUGCUGGUAACUUGGGAGCUCAGAAGAGAGAUUCUUCUGGGGUGGAACUUAUUGCUUUGAUGAGAGGGGUUCCUCAGGUUCUGCUGUACUUCAGGAUGAAGGCUCUUAGGAAACUCUUUUUAGAUCUUUGAUGAGAGGGAUUUUCCCUGAUGAGGAUGAUACUUCUGAGAGAGCACAAUAAGGCUAGAGACAAAGGACCCUAGAGAAUGGAGUCAAUUGCACCUACCAAGAUGAAGAGUCAUUAAUGAGGCAAUGACAACAGGAAGAAGUGAACAUGGAGGAGCCAAGGGCACCUCUCCUUCUGCCUUCUGAUCUCCUUACUGCCAGUACUUCUCCGACCCUGAAGGGAGCAAGUGGACAAAAAAGGACAAGUAGCCUAAAGGGAUGGAGUGUCUGUGAAACUAAUGUGUGCCAUACACACAUGAAGACUCUUCAGACCUAACACUGGAGACAAGAAGAGACCAAGGCACUGUUCUUGUGUGGGGGCCUAGAGAUGCAGUAAUCUCAGGCCAGGAAGUCCAUCUCUUCUGUGGGCGGCAGGAAGGAGCGUGACCCGCUGUUUUCUCAGGGGCCUAGCUGGUGGGCUGGAUGAGAGUCCUGUCCUGAUGUAAGCAAAGCCUCUCUCCCACCUUCUGCUCUGCUGCUUUGAUGUCCUUGAUUCCAGGGCUGAGCUAGCUGCUCCUUGGGCUGGAUCAGGAAGGACCAUGGACCAUGGACCGUUGCCUUGGGGUAUGCAGUUUGCCCUUCUCUCUCCCUUCAAGACCAAGAGUUUCUUGACACCAGGAUCUUGUGCCACCUUCUUUGCCUACAGCAACAUGCCUGCACUGAAUUAUUUGCUUUCUUUCCUUUGUUUCCUUUUCAUCUUCCUUCCUCCCUUCGUUUUACUUUUUUAUUUGUUCUUCUUUUUAAUUAAUCAAAGUAAAUGUUGCUAACAGAACAUGAUUUUCCAGUCUCAGGAACAGUCAGGAGAGGAUCACU